GUUUAUGAUCAUACCACCCUGAGUGUACCCAAGCUUGUCUGAUCCUCAGGAGCAAAGCAAGGUCAGGCUUAGUUAGUACUUGGAUGAGAGAAAGUGGCAAAGAAUUAUGGCCU
RNAcentral lists this ribosomal RNA (113 nucleotides) under Chinchilla lanigera (long-tailed chinchilla). The record is from RNAcentral. Lineage: Eukaryota; Metazoa; Chordata; Mammalia; Rodentia; Chinchillidae.